UUUUGAAGUCGCCUCUCUUCCAUUGUUAGAGGUAGCUCCGCGCCUCUUUUCUGUGGAUUCUGUUUUAUUUUUUCUUUUAUCUUAUCGUUUCCACAUUACUCGAAGGUUCGCAGUAUAGAGAAGCUCUGUCUAAUGCGGGAGAUCUCGGGAAUGGAACAAAGUUAAUCAUUGUUCAUGAUGCCAUUGCAAGUGAUGAUGGAAAUCUGGAGCUAGCUUUACGUUGGCCUUCUCUUCCAGCUUGGGUAUCCAGAGAUAUGUUCAGCUUUUAAAUAUGACCUGUCGUUUCGUGGACUAUCUUGUGAAGUUGGAUUUUUUGGGUCUAUUGAGCUUGACGGAAGCUUCUUUGGUUGUGGACAGGUUUUAUUAGUCAUCUCUUUCUUGCUGCGGGUCAACACCACUGAAAGAAAUGGAAGAUUCAAGAUGAUGGACGUCGAUCCUGCAUGUUUAAUAACCUGAAUACUAAGAAAGGAUGAAAACUAUUUCUAACUGGAAUGAAUUAGUGUUUGUACAUCUUACGGGAUAUGCUUUUAAAUAUAGGUAAAUGAUUUUGCAAAGUAGUAAUUUAUUGUAAUAGUUUUGGCAGUUCCUUUACUACAUUGCCAUUUUGUUUUAUGGAUAAAAAAUUAAGUUAGAUAAGGAUGGACACGUAGAUAAUGCUUAAUAUAUAUGGAAGAUCAGAAUGUUUACUUGAUUAUUCAAUACUGCUGUUAAUUGUGAAUAUAACAUUUUACUAGAAAA
Long non-coding RNA from Papaver somniferum (opium poppy), 738 nucleotides. RefSeq lists it as uncharacterized. The transcript has 4 exons. NCBI's taxonomy places the organism in Eukaryota, Viridiplantae, Streptophyta, Magnoliopsida, Ranunculales, Papaveraceae. The record is from RefSeq and is a predicted model, not a curated record.